UUUUUAUGGAGAGUUUGAUCCUGGCUCAGGAUGAACGCUGGCGGCGUGCCUAAUACAUGCAAGUCGAGCGAACAGACGAGGAGCUUGCUCCUCUGACGUUAGCGGCGGACGGGUGAGUAACACGUGGAUAACCUACCUAUAAGACUGGGAUAACUUCGGGAAACCGGAGCUAAUACCGGAUAAUAUAUUGAACCGCAUGGUUCAAUAGUGAAAGACGGUUUUGCUGUCACUUAUAGAUGGAUCCGCGCCGCAUUAGCUAGUUGGUAAGGUAACGGCUUACCAAGGCAACGAUGCGUAGCCGACCUGAGAGGGUGAUCGGC
RNAcentral lists this ribosomal RNA (320 nucleotides) under Staphylococcus epidermidis NIH05003. Its description in RNAcentral is "bacterial SSU rRNA". It matches the Rfam family "Bacterial small subunit ribosomal RNA", at positions 1 to 308 of the family's 1533-position model. The record is from RNAcentral. Lineage: Bacteria; Bacillati; Bacillota; Bacilli; Caryophanales; Staphylococcaceae.